ACGAACGCUGGCGGCGCGCUUAACACAUGCAAGUCGCGCGAUGAAACUUUAACAGAACCCUUCGGGGCGAAGAUAAAGUGGAUUAGCGGCGGACGGGUGAGUAACACGUGAGUAACCUGCCUUAGACAUUGGGAUAGCCUCGGGAAACCGGGAUUAAUACCAAAUAAAAUCAUAAUGACACAUGUUAUAACGAUCAAAACUCCGGUGGUCUAAGAUGGACUCGCGUCCCAUUAGCUAGUUGGUAGAGUAAAAGCCUACCAAGGCGACGAUGGGUAGCCGGCCUGAGAGGGUGAACGGCCACAUUGGAACUGAGAAACGGUCCAAACUCCUACGGGAGGCAGCAGUGGGGAAUAUUGCACAAUGGAGGGAACUCUGAUGCAGCGACGCCGCGUGAACGAAGAAGGCUUUCGAGUCGUAAAGUUCUUUUAUAUGGGAAGAUAAUGACGGUACCAUAAGAAAAAGCCCCGGCUAACUACGUG
RNAcentral lists this ribosomal RNA (479 nucleotides) under uncultured bacterium. Its description in RNAcentral is "partial 16S ribosomal RNA". It matches the Rfam family "Bacterial small subunit ribosomal RNA", at positions 29 to 507 of the family's 1533-position model. The record is from RNAcentral.